This 427-nucleotide long non-coding RNA is filed under the name Mytilus galloprovincialis (Mediterranean mussel). Lineage: Eukaryota; Metazoa; Mollusca; Bivalvia; Mytilida; Mytilidae. The record is from RNAcentral.
GGUUAAAACACAUUGUGUUGUAAAAAAAAUGAUUGUUAGUUAAUGUGUGUAUUCUUAACUUUUAAAAGACAUUAAACGUUAUUUCUACAUUUAUUUUAUUGGCAAACGAGUGGCUUUGAACUAUAAAGAAGACCAAAAUAGGAGUUUGAGAAUGAAUUCCCCUUUCCGAUGAUUGAUUUAAACAGGAUAUUAAAAGAUACGGUAAUACAAUCCGGGAAAUACAAAUUUGAAUGGUCAUUUGCCAUUAAUAUUUAUUCGAUUAAUACCAUGCUAUGAUAGGGAAUACGGGUUUUACCCAACAUCAGGGAGCUAGUUGUUUGUCGAAUAUUGUUGUAAGCAGUAUAUAUUUAUUUGAUGAAAUUCAUCAAAACCAUCUACAUCCCAAACUGUACCUACAAUUGUAAUUAUUAUUUUAAUUUAUUUAAAC